GAGAUACAGAAGUUUGUAUAUGUCCCUCCGCUAAUUGUUGUUUGACCAGGUCAUGGGCUACUUGUAUCUUUUCUUUAGUCAGGGGCCACUGAGGAAUCCAUACUGGUCUUUCUGAUUUCCAAGUAAUUUUGAUUGCCUCAAUGACCCCUUCUGAAAACCCAAUCCAUGUCUAUUUAUUCCUUUAUCUAUUUGAAUUGGUGCUGCUAUACCUUGUUCUUGUUCUCCUAAUCUUUUUUCUUUCCUAAAACCUUGUCUAGCCCUAGUAGUGGGCACAUUAGGAUUGAUGUUAUUUGUUAAUGUCAAACCUAAUUGAUCUAGGACAUCUCAUCCCCAUAAAUUUAUAGGAAGAUGAUCCAAUACAUAUGGCUGUAUAGUUCCUUCACAUCCUUCAGGAUCCUUCCAAUCUAAAACCAUCACACUUCUAUGGGGAUUAGUUGCCACUCCUAGGCCUCAAAGCGUUUGAGUGGCUUGUUGUAAUGGCCAAUGUUUUGGCCAUUCUUGAUGAAAUAUGAUGCUAAGGUCAGCACCUGUGUCCAGUAGCCCAUUAAAUUCAUGUCCUUGAAUAUUUAGUUUUAGCAUUGGGCAAGAAUCAAAAUUUAAAGACAGCAUAGCCCAAUCUACACCUGUGGAGCCUAUUCCCUUGGAACCUCUUUCUACAGUACGACUGGAAAAUUUACCAUGCAGGCUGGGUAUUAUUAAUAACUGUGCUAUUCUAUCUCCUGGUGAAAUUACUGACAUACCUCUUGGAGAACUGGCUAUAAUUUUUAUUUCACCUUCAUAAUCAGGAUCAAUUACCCCAGGACUUAUCAUAAGUCCUUUUAGUGUAGAAGAACUGCAUCCUAAUAAUAAGCCUACUGUACCUUGGGGAAGAGGUCCUUUUACUCCUGUGGAAUGACUUGAACUCCCAUCUCUGGACUUAGUACUGCUCUGGCAGAGGUGCAGAUGUCCAACCCUGAAUUCCCUCUGGUUUGUUUGAUGAGGGAUUUAAUGGACAAUGUGUCAUGGGCACUACCCUGAUGAGGUUGCUGGGUUCCUCCAUUGCCCCAUAUAUUUGUGGUUGUGAGCCCCGGACCAUUGGGCCCCCCAGUCCGUUUUUUGGCAAUGGAGCCCGAUGCUUUUCUCCAUGAUAUCGUGGGUAAACACCUGGUCCUUGUUCAUUUUUUUGAUAAUGGAGUACCCUCUAUGGUGGUUUGAGAAUGGCAUUCAUUAGCCCAAUGUCUCCCUCUAUGGCAUUGUGGGCAAACACCCGGUAUUCUACUCCUUUGAUACCUAGCUUUGUUAAACCCUCCUCCUAUGGGGCAACUCCUUUUAAAAUGUCCUAUUUGUUCACAAUUGUAGCAUGUUUUUGGCCUGGCAUCUAAAGCCUGUUGUACUGUAGCUGCCAGGACUUGUCCUUGUUCAUUAAUGUCUCUACAUAAUUUGAUAUAUGUGUUUAAAUCUCCAUGUUUUCAUGGUCUGACGGCCUCCUUACACCAUCUGUUUGCUUGCUCAAAGGCUAGCUGUUUAAUUAAUGGCAUUGUUUUCUCUGUAUCCCCAAAAACUCUGGUAGCUGUUUGAAUAAGCCUAUCUACAAAUUCAGCGUAAGGUUCAUUAGCUUCUUGUAUUACCUUAGAUAAUUGACCUUGUAAAUCUCCAUGUCCUUGUAAAGUCUUCCAUGCCCUAACUGCAUCUGCAGCAAUCUGUGAAUAUAUAGCAGGAUCAUAUGCAGUUUGUUGCAGCUGACCCUCAUAAGGUCCCUUUCCUAACAACAUAUCUAGAUUUCUCUGAGGAUAACCAGCUGCUGCAUUUCGCCUAGCCGUCUCCAUGCAAAAUUCCUCAUUGGCAACCUUCCAUAACAAGUAUUGUCCUCCAUUUAGCACAGCUUUACACACACUAGUCCAUUCUGCUGAAGUCAUGUUUAAGUUGGUAAUGGAUUCGACCAAGCUUACAGUGAAGGGUGCUUGAGGACCAUAGGUUGUUACAGCCUCUUUUAGCUGCUUCACUGUUUUGAAAUAUAAAACAUGGUGAAUUCGCUGCCCUCCUGCCGCCUCAAAUACAGGGCAUGCUACUCUUUGAGGUCCUGUCUCAGGAUCCCAUCUAUCAACUACGGGGGUUGAGGGUCCCAUAGGUGGAGCUGUUGGUUGGACACAUACACCCUCUGGUGAUAGAAAGGUGUUAGUAGCAGCCUCCUGUUGUAACUUUUUCCCUGAUGGCUUUUUCUGCUCUAAACUUUCUUCCCCUUUCUGACUAUCUCGAGAGGCCUCCUCUUUCUCCUGUUCUAAUAUGUCUUCUACCAUAAUCUGAACUGAAAGAUUUGGACUAGGCAAACAAAAUCGUAUCAUCAUCCACUAUGGCAAUGUGCCAACUGGCAGAGUUCCUGGGUUUUUCUUUUCCCUGUCCCUUAAAUCUUCACCACGAUGGUCCCAUUGUGAUAUGUUCAACAACUCCUCCUUAAAAAGCCAUGGGCUACUUUUUUGUAUUGUAUCAACGUAUGCCCUGACUCUUUUUGGUUUUACUGGGGUGCCUCCUUCCUCUAACAAUUUACUUAACAUUCUUUCGGUUUGUUUUUUGCUAAUUUCUGACCCCAUAUUUCUGCUACAAGGAUAAUGCAACUCAAACAGAUAAAACAAAACCGAAGCAAAAUGAAACAAAAAUCAUUGUAUCAAUUUUCUCUUCCUCAGGGUCGAACAACUUCAAACCUUGAGCCAACCAUUUUUCCCAGUUUGCCUGAGAAAGUUCUAGGGACAGGAAGCUUGAAACAAAAACAAAAUAAAUCAAAACAAGAACAUAUUGUUUUUUGAAAUGGUCACCCAUUCUCUCGCUCUCCCUCAGGGGUGAGCAAUUUCACUUUCAUUUGGGCCACCAAAUGCCGCAGUCUGGCUGGGCACAAAAUCAGGAGCCACUCAAGCAGGAACAAACUUUAUUUCCAAAACUCCCGGAACGCCAGGCACGCGGCCUUCUCCCGGGACACACCACACCAACCGGAAAUCCCUCCUCCAGAAAUCCCUCCUACCGCACUUCCCCAACCAAUGGGAACUCUCCGGGGAUCCCUGUGAGAGCUCCAAAGUAGCAGGCUGAGGUGGACAGCAGGGGUCUAAUAUCCAAUUGAAUACACAUGUUAACAUAACCAUUAUCAUCUCAAUGGCUUGCUGGUGUCACCUUUCAACCAAAAAUGCCAUACAUCAUUCCUACUGGGCUAUGGCUCUCAGCACUCAGAGACUGAAGGAAGAGGGGGGAUUCCGGCCUUGGAGAAAGGCAGCUUGAGAGGGCCUGUGGGUGUCUCUGUAUAAAAGGGGGAGAAACCGCUUUAAGUGGGAGUUAUGAACCCAAUAUGGGAGGCCCUCAAGGUGGGCCGUCAAGGGAGUGGUAAGAAUGACUGAUAAGGUCCAGUCCACUUUGCAGAGAGUUAAGGGGAGGUGCCUGUUGGGGGGUUAAAGGUACCAGGGCGCCAGAGACCGAGUGGGAAAGGAAGAGGCAGAACUAGGCUUGGCCAGAACAGCAUCACUGUGUUGCCAAAGAAGGUUCCUAAUGUGUGCAAGAAGGGGCCAGAAAAGAUGAGGAGCAAGGGGCAGUGGAGAAUCAGAGGGGCUGAGCUGAGCAUGGAGGUGGUUCCAUAUAGGAGCUCAGAGGGGAGAUGUGGAGUGGCUUCCUUGGGAAGGCUUGAGACCUAAGAAGAGCCCAAGGAAGGAUUUAGUCCAAUCUAAAUGUAAUCAAGGGAUAGUUUAGUGAGAAUGUUCUUCAAGGUCCAGUUGGUACGUCCACCUUGCCAGAGGACUGGGGAUGCCAGGGGACAUGAAAAUGCCAGGAGAUGUUGAGUGCCUUAGCUACUGACAUGAAACAUGGGGAGUAAAUUCAGGACCAUUGAGACUGGAGCGAGGAGGGGAGGCCGAAUCGGGAAGAAUGUGUUCAACCGGGAUGUGGCCACCAUAGGGGCACACUUAUUGGUGGUAGGAAAAGCCUUGACCCAUCCCGGAAAGUGUUGAAAGUACCAAGACAAAGUUGUGCCUCUUGACCGAGGGCACAUGGGUGAAGUCCAGCUGCCAAUCAGAGCCAGGGAGAUGUCCUCUUGCCUGGUGUAAAGGAAGGCAGGGGGUGGAGAUUGGAGGUAGAAUUGGGUUUCUGGCAGAUUUUACAGGAGGCAGAGGGUAGAGAGGAAUUGUAGGUCCUCUGGAGAGAGUUUGAGGUGGGAUGUGAGAAGUUGUUUUAAAGGUGUGGUGUUGGGGUGAGGGGGUGAAGGAAGGUGAGCCUCUGUUGAGCAUCAGCUGGGGGAGAGUCCGUCAGGGACUAGCAAGGCCCAGGACUGCAGGUGGACUAGGCUGUCGCAGCACCGCGGCCCUCGCAUUGGAGUCUGCCUUGUUGUUGCCGAGUGUCACACAGGAGGUGUCUGUCUGGUGGGACUUGAAAUGUGAUUUUCCAGGGGCUGGGGAUGUGGCUCAAGCGGUAGCGCCCUCACCUGGCAUGCGUGCGGCCCGGGUUCGAUCCUCAGCACCACAUACAAACAAAGAUGUUGUGUCCGCCGAAAACUAAAAAAUAAAUAUUAAAAAAUUCUCUCUCUCUCUCUCUCUCUCUCUCUCUCUCUCUCUCUCUCUCCCCCCACUCUUUCUUUAAAAUAAAAAAUAAAAAAAAGAAAACUAAAAAAUCAAUAAUAAUAAAAAACCUCUCUCUCUCUCUCUCUCUCUCUCUCUCUCUCUCUCUCUCCCCCUCUCUCUCUUUAAAAAAAAUUUAAAAAAAGAAUUAAAAAAAAAAAGAAAUGUGAUUUUCCAGUGGAAGAGGGAAGCUUUGAGCCCUGAAGAAGACAGAGGUAAAGGGGCAUUAGUAACAGAAGUCCCCUUGGUGGUCAGGAAUCCGCGAUCCUUCCACGUAGCAGAGUGGAGAGAAGUAGGUGGAAAGUAGAGUCAGUGUAGACGUUGGGGGAGGCCCCCUUUGCCACAGUGAAGGCUCUGAUGAGGGCACCAUGUCAGCCUGCUGAGUGGAUGUGUUACUGGGGAGGGGAGCGGCUUCCACAGCCGAGGGUAGAGAGACGGUAGCAGACCCUGCCUGACGACGCCCUCCUGAAGGAAGCAGAGGCCAUCUGUGGACCCUGUGCAUGUGGCCUGGAGCAGGGCCUCCUGUAUGUGGGAGGGGUGUGGAAGGAGCUGCCCCAGAGUCUCAGUGCAUGAGUGGGUGAGAGGAGGAGGGGGGAAGAGUCCUGAGGAGCGGGAGGAGGGUAGCAGGGUUUAAAGGUGAGCAGGUGUGGACACUGAGACUGGAUCUCCCACCAGGGAAACCUGUAGAGAUCAAAGGUGACAGGGGUAAGGAGUGUAAGCCCUGGUAGGUGAGGAGAUCCUUUAGGUGACGGGGAGCCAGGAUGGUGAGUGGGGCCCCAAGGUGGGUUUCUUUAUGAGUAGAGAGGCUGCGGCCAACAUCUGUAGGCAAAGGGUCCAUCCCUCAUCAGUAGGGUCAAGACCCUUGGAUAGAUAGGCCUCAGGAGCAAAGGUUGGCCCCAGCAUGUGUCCGAGGACCCCUAGAGCAAAUCCCUGCUUUUCAGGCACCUGAAGGUGAGGUGGGCGUGUGAGCUCAGGGAGAUGUAGAGAGGGGCUGGAGGAGGCCUGCUGGAGCCUGGUGAGGGGCUCUGUAACGGAGGCAAUAGGGGUUCAGAGAGGGGGUCCUGGGCCAUCAUAUAGAGGUUAGCCAAUAUGGAGUAGUUAGGAAUCCAGGCUCUGAGGAAUCCCGCCACACCCAGAAAGGAGAGAAUGUCUUCCUCAGUAGAGGGGUUGGUAUGUUAGUGAUGAGGGCCUUUCUGUCAACCGACAUGGCUGUGUGUAGGGUCAGGAGGAGGCCUAGGUCAAGGAGAGCUGUACCUGGGAUGGAGAAGCCCUAUAGCCACGGGCAGAAAGGAAGUGGAGAAGUUCACAGGUGUCCUGAUGGCUGACCUCAAGGGGGGACUGCAAAGGUCAUCAACAUGCUGUGGCACCACAGGCUGAGUGAGAUGUGUGGAUGCUAGGUCCUUAGCCAAGGCCUGUCUGAAGGUAUGAGGGCUGUCUCGGAACCCUUGGGGGAAACUGUCCCCAUCAGCUGACUCAGGGUCUGUCCAUGGGAAGGCGAAAGUGUCCUGAGAGUGAGAAUGGAGGGGAUAGAGAAGAAGGCAUCUGUCAGGUCUAGCACUGAGCUCUAAGAGGUCCCGGAAGGAGUGGAGGAGAGAAGGGUACAAGGAUCCGUUACCACGGGAUGGAUUGGGACCACGCAGAGUUCACGGAAAGGAGCUCUUGGACCAAGUGGUAGGAACCAUUAGGCCUUUCACUGCCAAGAUGGGGGUGUCAUAAGGGGAAUGAGGAGGUCUGAGGAAGCCCUUUUGCACGAGGUCUUGAAUGAUAGGUGUAAGCCCAGGAGUUUUUGUCAGGGGAGCGGGUGUUGUGAUUGGGCCAGAACAUGGAGGGGGCCUUUGAGACAGAUGUGAAUGGGCUUGUGGCAUGAGGCGAUAGAAGGACUUGAAACAUCCCGGACAGUACGGUCCACCUCAGAAGUGGGUAAUGGGAGGCCCUGGCAGAUGAAACAGGGGAAGGUCCUAAGGUCAGGGUGAGGAUCAGGGGAGCGGCUGCGAGUUUGGAUGGAAGCGUAUAUGAGGGGAGAAGGAAAGCGUAGCCCCCAACUGUGUGAGGAUGGCCCUUUCCAUAAGGGGAAGAGGACACUGUGGAAUGACCAUAAAGGAGUGGGUAAAAACUAGAGAGCCCAAGGCACAAACACGGCCGGGUGUCUGUAGGGUUGGCCAGGUUUACCCUCUACCCUGGCAGUCGAGGUCACAGAAGGAGUGGUAGGCCCUCACAACCCCUUGAGGACUGAAUGUGUAGCCAGGUGUCUAGGAGGAAGGACACAGGCCCACCUGAAAUAUGCAGUUACCCUGGGCUCCCGCAGAGUGAUGCUAGUGGUCAGGUGAUGGGGAGCUGGGCCUCGUCUGUCCUCUGCAGCCAGUCCUAAGAGUUGGAAAGGGGAACCAGAAGAGCUGGCUGACUGGGGCCUGCUAUGGGCUCGGGGACAGUCAACAGCCCAGUGUCCCUUCUGAUGGCAUUUAGGACAAGGGCCUGGAGGCUUGUAAGGCUUAGGACAUGGACGAGCCCAGUGACCCAUAUGACCACAUAUAAAACAGGGUCUGGUGGGUGCAGAGAAGACAUUCGGCAGAAUGGAGGCCCUGGUCCCAGGAUGGAAUCCAGAUUGGGGCUCGGGGAUGUUCAGUGACUGUGAGGAUGGCCUUAGGCCUGAGCCUAAGCAACUCCAUUUUAAAAAACCUGCAGAGACCCUCCCGUGGGCCAGUGCAACCAGGGACAGAUGCUAAGUCUGGACAGACGGCUUGAGCGACCAUCUGAUAUUUCUCCUUCUGUGCCUUCUCGUCUCCCCUGUUCUCCACCUUAAAGGCCCCUUGCAGAACCUCAGCUUGGGGAGUUAGGGGCCCCCAUCAAGGUGCCUUAGUUUGGCCUUAAUAUUGGGGAAACUCUGGGAGGAAAAGUAGGUCUCCCAUCUGGAGCCUCAGGUCCAGGUUAGUAUAUUGCAAUAAACCCUGGUCAGGGGUCUAAAAAUGCUGAAGGUUUCAUUCUUAUCUUGGAAGAUUUCCUGGAGCCUUUCAUAAUUGCUGGCCUUGUGGGCUGCCUUUCUCAGUCCUUCCAUGAGGCAAGUAUGAAUUGGUUUCUACGAGUCACUCCUCUAGGCAAAUUACAAUCCCAACUGGGGUCCCGAUCAGGGACUGCCUUAGUGCCCAUCAGAUGGCAGGGGAGGUCUGAUGUACCUCAUCAGCAUAAUUUCUAGCUUGCUCUCAAACUCGCCUGCGGUCCUCAGGCAGGAGGGUGUUAGACAAGAUCAUAUGGACAUCGUGGAAGGUCAAAUACCUGACUUAUCAAUAUCAAAUACCUGACUUAUAUGAUUGAGUCAGGUAUUGAAACUCUUUGGUCUAUGUGUUGGGACUUGAAGUGUAGGACCCAAGCUGCUUUUCCAUCUGUGAAAGAUCUGACAAAGAGAAAGGCACAUGAACCCGAUUACACCAUCCACCCAGCCGCCUCGCGUAGAGGACACAGAGAUGCAGGUUGAGCAGUGGUAAUCCGUGAGUGUGUGGCAGGAGGACAGAGAGCGGAGGGGCGUGGGGACAGUUGCUGCAGAGGCUUCAAUAGAAACAGAAUUGUGGCAUGGUGGGGGCUCAUCUGCUGGGUGGAAGGAGAAGGAGUCCUGGGUAGGGUCUUCUGUUCCUUUGGAAGCAGGCGCAGAGGAGGUGAGAGCUAAGAGGACUUGUGCGGGAGAGCAGGAGUUGCAGAGAGAGGGCUUAGAACGUAGGGAGGAGAAGGCCUGAACAUAUGAAAUCUCUUUCCAAACACUCACGAUAGUUGAAAAGAUUCCUGAUGAUAUUGGGAUCUAGAGUGCCAUUAAGCGGCCAUUUAGAGUCAUCAUCCAAAGGAUAUUGAGGCCAGAUCUGAUUGCACAAGUGGAUGAGUUUCUGGGGGUUUAGGUCCGGGGUGAGAGAGAGAGACCCUAGGUUAGCCAGGAGGCAGCCCAGGGGGCUAUGGGAGGGCAUGGACGAGGAGCUGCCCAUGGUGAGACAGAGGAGGUGAGUUUAGAGGUGGGGCGUCCCCCAGUCUCUAAUAUUAUCUAGUUGAGAGGAUGGUUAAGCUCAGGGGUUUGUCACCACUGCUGAGUAAGCAUUGGUGAAGUAGCCCAUAGGGGCACUCGGGCACCUGGCUGGGACUGCGUAUUAGGGGCAGAAGCCCGUAGAGAUGAACCCACAGCUAAGAGGUUGUCUCCCCAGGAACAAUUCCCAAUUGUCCUCUGUGUUUUUUUUCUCAAAAUCCAGGAUCUAAAUGAAAAACCACCUAUAGACCUGGUCAACAGUAGGGAUCAGCCGUCGCUGUGAGAACUGUGGUUGGGGGUGCCCCACCCACACAGGAACCCUAGGAGUGCAGGACGAUCAGCGGUCACUUACUAGGACCCAUAGGUCGUUUAUGUCUACCAGAGACAGGGGUCUUCCUUGUAAUAUCUGGUGGUGGGUGAAGAGAGGGUGCUCUGCAGAAUGGAGGGCCUGGUCCCAGGAUGGAAUCCAGAUCAGGGCCCAGGGAUGCUCAGUGACCCUCAAAGAGGGAAGUGGGCACACCAGGGAACCUGAUCUUGGGUUUUGGUACCAAAGAGAAGGGAAAGUGAGAAGUGAAGGCGGAGACCAGGCAUCGACAGACACAGAGUUUACUUGUCAGAGCACACAGACAAAGGCCACCUCUCUGUGGGAGACAGGGGCAAAGCAGCUUGAGUUCUGGGACUUUAUGGGGAGGCUCAGGAGUCAGAGGGGGGUCCUAAUGCGG
RNAcentral lists this long non-coding RNA (9287 nucleotides) under Marmota monax (woodchuck). The record is from RNAcentral. Lineage: Eukaryota; Metazoa; Chordata; Mammalia; Rodentia; Sciuridae.